Molecule: ribosomal RNA, 978 nt
Filed under: Ligilactobacillus murinus
Lineage: Bacteria; Bacillati; Bacillota; Bacilli; Lactobacillales; Lactobacillaceae
Description: bacterial SSU rRNA
Rfam family: Bacterial small subunit ribosomal RNA
Source: RNAcentral
UUAAAUUGAGAGUUUGAUCCUGGCUCAGGAUGAACGCUGGCGGCGUGCCUAAUACAUGCAAGUCGAACGAAACUUCUUUAUCACCGAGUGCUUGCACUCACCGAUAAAGAGUUGAGUGGCGAACGGGUGAGUAACACGUGGGCAACCUGCCCAAAAGAGGGGGAUAACACUUGGAAACAGGUGCUAAUACCGCAUAACCAUAGUUACCGCAUGGUAACUAUGUAAAAGGUGGCUAUGCUACCGCUUUUGGAUGGGCCCGCGGCGCAUUAGCUAGUUGGUGGGGUAAAGGCUUACCAAGGCAAUGAUGCGUAGCCGAACUGAGAGGUUGAUCGGCCACAUUGGGACUGAGACACGGCCCAAACUCCUACGGGAGGCAGCAGUAGGGAAUCUUCCACAAUGGGCGAAAGCCUGAUGGAGCAACGCCGCGUGGGUGAAGAAGGUCUUCGGAUCGUAAAACCCUGUUGUUAGAGAAGAAAGUGCGUGAGAGUAACUGUUCACGUUUCGACGGUAUCUAACCAGAAAGCCACGGCUAACUACGUGCCAGCAGCCGCGGUAAUACGUAGGUGGCAAGCGUUAUCCGGAUUUAUUGGGCGUAAAGGGAACGCAGGCGGUCUUUUAAGUCUGAUGUGAAAGCCUUCGGCUUAACCGGAGUAGUGCAUUGGAAACUGGGAGACUUGAGUGCAGAAGAGGAGAGUGGAACUCCAUGUGUAGCGGUGAAAUGCGUAGAUAUAUGGAAGAACACCAGUGGCGAAAGCGGCUCUCUGGUCUGUAACUGACGCUGAGGUUCGAAAGCGUGGGUAGCAAACAGGAUUAGAUACCCUGGUAGUCCACGCCGUAAACGAUGAAUGCUAAGUGUUGGAGGGUUUCCGCCCUUCAGUGCUGCAGCUAACGCAAUAAGCAUUCCGCCUGGGGAGUACGACCGCAAGGUUGAAACUCAAAGGAAUUGACGGGGGCCCGCACAAGCGGUGGAGCAUGUGG